UACAGAGGGUGCAAGCGUUGCUCGGAAUCAUUGGGCGUAAAGCGCGUGUAGGCGGCCCGGUAAGUCCGCUGUGAAAGUCGGGGGCUCAACCCUCGAAUGCCGGUGGAUACUGUCGGGCUAGAGUGCGGGAGAGGCGAGUGGAAUUCCUGGUGUAGCGGUGAAAUGCGCAGAUAUCAGGAGGAACACCAAUUGCGAAGGCAGCUCGCUGGAACGUAACUGACGCUGAGACGCGAAAGCGUGGGGAGCAAACAGG
This 253-nucleotide ribosomal RNA is filed under the name uncultured bacterium. Its description in RNAcentral is "partial 16S ribosomal RNA". It matches the Rfam family "Bacterial small subunit ribosomal RNA", at positions 524 to 776 of the family's 1533-position model. The record is from RNAcentral.